This 73-nucleotide transfer RNA is filed under the name Camelus bactrianus (Bactrian camel). It matches the Rfam family "tRNA". Rfam says of the family: Transfer RNA (tRNA) molecules are approximately 80 nucleotides in length. Their secondary structure includes four short double-helical elements and three loops (D, anti-codon, and T loops). Lineage: Eukaryota; Metazoa; Chordata; Mammalia; Artiodactyla; Camelidae. RNAcentral also lists the same sequence under 2 other names. The record is from Rfam by way of RNAcentral.
GUACAUAUAGCUCAGUGGUGGAGUGCAUGCCUAGAAUGCACGAGGUCCCAGGUUCAAUCCCCUAGUACCUCCA